AGGACUGGGAUAACUCUGGGAAACUGGGGAUAAUACUGGAUAUUAGGCUAUGCCUGGAAUGGUUUGCCUUUGAAAUGUUUUUUUUCGCCUAAGGAUAGGUCUGCGGCUGAUUAGGUCGUUGGUGGGGUAAUGGCCCACCAAGCCGAUGAUCGGUACGGGUUGUGAGAGCAAGGGCCCGGAGAUGGAACCUGAGACAAGGUUCCAGACCCUACGGGGUGCAGCAGGCGCGAAACCUCCGCAAUGUACGAAAGUGCGACGGGGGGAUCCCAAGUGUUAUGCUUUUUUGUAUGACUUUUCAUUAGUGUAAAAAGCUUUUAGAAUAAGAGCUGGGCAAGACCGGUGCCAGCCGCCGCGGUAACACCGGCAGCUCGAGUGGUAGCUGUUUUUAUUGGGCCUAAAGCGUUCGUAGCCGGUUUGAUAAGUCUUUGGUGAAAGCUUGUAGCUUAACUAUAAGAAUUGCUGGAGAUACUAUUAGACUUGAAGUCGGGAGAGGUUAGAGGUACUACCGGGGUAGGGGUGAAAUCCUACAAUCCUGGGAGGACCACCUGUGGCGAAGGCGUCUAACUGGAACGAUCUUGACGGUGAGUAACGAAAGCCAGGGGCGCGAACCGGAUUAGAUACCCGGGUAGUCCUGGCCGUAAACGAUGUGGACUUGGUGUUGGAAUGGCUUUGAGUUGUUCCGGUGCCGAAGGGAAGCUGUUAAGUCCACCGCCUGGGAAGUACGGUCGCAAGACUGAAACUUAA
Molecule: ribosomal RNA, 744 nt
Filed under: uncultured archaeon
Lineage: Archaea
Description: bacterial SSU rRNA
Rfam family: Archaeal small subunit ribosomal RNA
Source: RNAcentral